Molecule: long non-coding RNA, 213 nt
Organism: Ipomoea triloba (trilobed morning glory)
Lineage: Eukaryota; Viridiplantae; Streptophyta; Magnoliopsida; Solanales; Convolvulaceae
Exons: 3
Source: RefSeq, a predicted model, not a curated record
AGAAAGGGAGCUCCGGCUUGAAACACAGUUUUAGGAUCAUGCCAUGAGGGAAAUAAUAUUGGAGUGGGAAUUAGAAUCUGUAUGCAAAAUUUAGGAGUGGCAAUAAGAAGAGAGCUCUAUCGAACGAAUGACUUUGCGGAUGCUGAGAUACCAAAUCCAAGAGCAUUGAGCAUUUUAAGUGGAACAUCUUUUAUGGAAGAAAAAGAUGCAUCC